CAGCAGCCGCGGUAAUACGUAGGGUGCGAGCGUUAAUCGGAAUUACUGGGCGUAAAGCGUGCGCAGGCGGUUUGUUAAGACAGAUGUGAAAUCCCCGGGCUUAACCUGGGAACUGCAUUUGUGACUGGCAAGCUAGAGUAUGGCAGAGGGGGGUGGAAUUCCGCGUGUAGCAGUGAAAUGCGUAGAUAUGCGGAGGAACACCGAUGGCGAAGGCAGCCCCCUGGGCCAAUACUGACGCUCAUGCACGAAAGCGUGGGGUGCAAACAGGAUUAGAUACCCGCGUAGUCCCUGUCUCUUAUAC
This 301-nucleotide ribosomal RNA is filed under the name uncultured bacterium. Its description in RNAcentral is "partial 16S ribosomal RNA". It matches the Rfam family "Bacterial small subunit ribosomal RNA", at positions 509 to 807 of the family's 1533-position model. The record is from RNAcentral.